RNAcentral lists this long non-coding RNA (274 nucleotides) under Malus domestica (apple). RNAcentral's name for it is "long non-coding RNA (MDOM_LNC019225)". Lineage: Eukaryota; Viridiplantae; Streptophyta; Magnoliopsida; Rosales; Rosaceae. The record is from RNAcentral.
UUAAUAAUAAUGAGAGAGUACGCUUACUCAUUUGCAACUAAUGCAAGUACCCAUCUUAUUUGGCCUCUAGAGAGUGUCACCUCACAAUGAUAUGAUAUUGGCUCCAUUGCACUUAGUUAAGUCAUUCCCACCAUGCUUAGUUCAUGAAGGGGUUCAAGAAUAGCCUCACAAUGAUAUGAUAUUGGCCAUCCUCGUUGCCUACAUCAACCUCAUCAUAUGUUUAUGGAUUCCUCCUGAGUAUAAGCAUGCACUUUGUACUCCCCCAUGAUAGGGU